GAUGAACGCUAGCUACAGGCUUAACGCAUGCAAGUCGAGGGGAAACGGCAUUUAGUGCUUGCACCGAAUGGACGUCGACCGGCGCACGGGUGAGUAACGCGUAUCCAACCUACCCAUUACUGUGGGAUAACCUGCCGAAAGGCAGACUAAUACCGCAUAGUCUUCGAUGACGGCAUCAGAUUUGAAGUAAAGAUUUAUCGGUAAUGGAUGGGGAUGCGUCUGAUUAGCUUGUUGGCGGGGUAACGGCCCACCAAGGCAACGAUCAGUAGGGGUUCUGAGAGGAAGGUCCCCCACAUUGGAACUGAGACACGGUCCAAACUCCUACGGGAGGCAGCAGUGAGGAAUAUUGGUCAAUGGACGAGAGUCUGAACCAGCCAAGUAGCGUGCAGGAUGACGGCCCUAUGGGUUGUAAACUGCUUUUGUAUGGGGAUAAAGUCAAUCACGUGUGAUUGUUUGCAGGUACCAUACGAAUAAGGACCGGCUAAUUCCGUGCCAGCAGCCGCGGUAAUACGGAAGGUCCGGGCGUUAUCCGGAUUUAUUGGGUUUAAAGGGAGCGUAGGCCGGAGAUUAAGUGUGUUGUGAAAUGUAGACGCUCAACGUCUGACUUGCAGCGCAUACUGGUUUCCUUGAGUACGCACAACGUUGGCGGAAUUCGUCGUGUAGCGGUGAAAUGCUUAGAUAUGACGAAGAACUCCGAUUGCGAAGGCAGCUGACGGGAGCGCAACUGACGCUUAAGCUCGAAGGUGCGGGUAUCGAACAGG
RNAcentral lists this ribosomal RNA (761 nucleotides) under Prevotella melaninogenica. RNAcentral describes it as "bacterial SSU rRNA". It matches the Rfam family "Bacterial small subunit ribosomal RNA", at positions 28 to 776 of the family's 1533-position model. Lineage: Bacteria; Pseudomonadati; Bacteroidota; Bacteroidia; Bacteroidales; Prevotellaceae. The record is from RNAcentral.